RNAcentral lists this transfer RNA (71 nucleotides) under Loxodonta africana (African savanna elephant). It matches the Rfam family "tRNA". Rfam says of the family: Transfer RNA (tRNA) molecules are approximately 80 nucleotides in length. The record is from Rfam by way of RNAcentral. Lineage: Eukaryota; Metazoa; Chordata; Mammalia; Proboscidea; Elephantidae.
GCAGUGGUGGGUCAGUGGUAGAAUUCUUGCCUUCUGUGCAAAAGGCCCAGGUUUGAUUCCCGGCCGGUGCA